RNAcentral lists this ribosomal RNA (253 nucleotides) under uncultured bacterium. Its description in RNAcentral is "partial 16S ribosomal RNA". It matches the Rfam family "Bacterial small subunit ribosomal RNA", at positions 524 to 776 of the family's 1533-position model. The record is from RNAcentral.
UACGUAGGGGGCAAGCGUUGUCCGGAAUCAUUGGGCGUAAAGCGCGUGUAGGCGGCUCGAUAAGUCUGCUGUGAAAGUCCAGGGCUCAACCCUGGGAUGCCGGUGGAUACUGUCGAGCUCGAGUCCGGAAGAGGCGAGUGGAAUUCCUGGUGUAGCGGUGAAAUGCGCACAUAUCAGGAGGAACACCAAUGGCGAAGGCAGCUCGCUGGGACGUGACUGACGCUGAGACGCGAAAGCUAGGGGAGCAAACAGG